This 545-nucleotide ribosomal RNA is filed under the name Arthrobacter sp. Its description in RNAcentral is "bacterial SSU rRNA". It matches the Rfam family "Bacterial small subunit ribosomal RNA", at positions 158 to 716 of the family's 1533-position model. The record is from RNAcentral. Lineage: Bacteria; Bacillati; Actinomycetota; Actinomycetes; Micrococcales; Micrococcaceae.
UGGGUCUAAUACCGGAUAUGACUCCUCAUCGCAUGGUGGGGGGUGGAAAGCUUUUUGUGGUUUUGGAUGGACUCGCGGCCUAUCAGCUUGUUGGUGAGGUAAUGGCUUACCAAGGCGACGACGGGUAGCCGGCCUGAGAGGGUGACCGGCCACACUGGGACUGAGACACGGCCCAGACUCCUACGGGAGGCAGCAGUGGGGAAUAUUGCACAAUGGGCGAAAGCCUGAUGCAGCGACGCCGCGUGAGGGAUGACGGCCUUCGGGUUGUAAACCUCUUUCAGUAGGGAAGAAGCGAAAGUGACGGUACCUGCAGAAGAAGCGCCGGCUAACUACGUGCCAGCAGCCGCGGUAAUACGUAGGGCGCAAGCGUUAUCCGGAAUUAUUGGGCGUAAAGAGCUCGUAGGCGGUUUGUCGCGUCUGCCGUGAAAGUCCGGGGCUCAACUCCGGAUCUGCGGUGGGUACGGGCAGACUAGAGUGAUGUAGGGGAGACUGGAAUUCCUGGUGUAGCGGUGAAAUGCGCAGAUAUCAGGAGGAACACCGAUGGC